CGUGUAGGCGGGAAUGUAAGUCAGAUGUGAAACUCCGAGGCUCAACUUCGGAACUGCAUCUGAAACUAUGUUUCUUGAGUGAUGGAGAGGAAAGCGGAAUUCCUAGUGUAGCGGUGAAAUGCGUAGAUAUUAGGAGGAACACCAGUGGCGAAGGCGGCUUUCUGGACAUUAACUGACGCUGAGGCGCGAAAGCGUGGGGAGCAAACA
RNAcentral lists this ribosomal RNA (207 nucleotides) under uncultured Pseudomonas sp. RNAcentral's name for it is "partial 16S ribosomal RNA". It matches the Rfam family "Bacterial small subunit ribosomal RNA", at positions 568 to 774 of the family's 1533-position model. Lineage: Bacteria; Pseudomonadati; Pseudomonadota; Gammaproteobacteria; Pseudomonadales; Pseudomonadaceae. RNAcentral also lists the same sequence under 1 other name. The record is from RNAcentral.